UCCCUAUUAGCUUAGUGGCAGAGCGUCUAUCUUGUAAACAGAAGGUCGGUGGUUCGAUUCCGGCAAAAGGAA
Molecule: non-coding RNA, 72 nt
Organism: Caenorhabditis brenneri
Lineage: Eukaryota; Metazoa; Nematoda; Chromadorea; Rhabditida; Rhabditidae
Source: Rfam